This is a long non-coding RNA of Gadus macrocephalus (Pacific cod), 566 nucleotides long. RefSeq lists it as uncharacterized. The record is from RefSeq and is a predicted model, not a curated record. The transcript has 5 exons. NCBI's taxonomy places the organism in Eukaryota, Metazoa, Chordata, Actinopteri, Gadiformes, Gadidae.
GAUUCACCAUGGCAACAAGUAGGCCUACUAACAAGCCUCGAUCCUCCUACUUCUCCCCAGCGGAGUUGCAAAUCGCGUGGGAAAAAAUAGCUGACCGAGUCAAUGCGUGCAACCCAACAGGCCCCAAACUGACUUGGCAGCAACUAAAAAUGAUAUAUAAAUGUAGUUCAAACAGCCAACAGAAAAAAGGCAGAGGCAUGCAAAACAGGUGGCGGUCCACCACCAUCACCUCUCACAGAGGCUGAAGAGAUGGCCGUCAGUCACAACAGUGGGCGACCCAUUGCUGAGGGCAUCUCUGGGGGGAGCUCAUUGGACCCACCCACGCUCCAGGACACAGGGGCCUACAUAAGAGUUACUGAUGAUGGUGUAAUCUGUCUCGUGGAGCCUUCUGCCAUAACACACCUCCAUGCUGUUGAGGAUGAUGAAGACACCUUAUCAGCUGCCACAGAGAGGGAAGUAAUAACUUUGGUUUCAGUUAAUUGUUCCACAAUGCAACUUGCAACUUCUUUCUCUCUAACAGAGCAAUGCCAGAAGUUACAAUGAGGAAGAAGGUCCAUCAACCUCCA